This 510-nucleotide ribosomal RNA is filed under the name uncultured bacterium. Its description in RNAcentral is "partial 16S ribosomal RNA". It matches the Rfam family "Bacterial small subunit ribosomal RNA", at positions 28 to 507 of the family's 1533-position model. The record is from RNAcentral.
GACGAACGCUGGCGGCGUGCUUAACACAUGCAAGUCGAACGAAGAGCGAUGGAAGCUUGCUUCUAUCAAUCUUAGUGGCGAACGGGUGAGUAACGCGUAAUCAACCUUCCCUUCAGAGGGGGACAACAGUUGGAAACGACUGCUAAUACCGCAUACGAUCUAAUCUCGGCAUCGAGGAUAGAUGAAAGGUGGCCUCUACAUGUAAGCUAUCACUGAAGGAGGGGAUUGCGUCUGAUUAGCUAGUUGGAGGGGUAACGGCCCACCAAGGCGAUGAUCAGUAGCCGGUCUGAGAGGAUGAACGGCCACAUUGGGACUGAGACACGGCCCAGACUCCUACGGGAGGCAGCAGUGGGGAAUCUUCCGCAAUGGACGAAAGUCUGACGGAGCAACGCCGCGUGAGUGAUGACGGCCUUCGGGUUGUAAAGCUCUGUUAAUCGGGACGAAAGGCCUUCUUGCGAAUAGUGAGAAGGAUUGACGGUACCGGAAUAGAAAGCCACGGCUAACUACGUG